RNAcentral lists this ribosomal RNA (253 nucleotides) under uncultured bacterium. RNAcentral's name for it is "partial 16S ribosomal RNA". It matches the Rfam family "Bacterial small subunit ribosomal RNA", at positions 524 to 776 of the family's 1533-position model. The record is from RNAcentral.
UACGAAGGGGGCUAGCGUUGCUCGGAAUCACUGGGCGUAAAGCGCACGUAGGCGGACUCUUAAGUCGGUGGUGAAAUCCUGGAGCUCAACUCCAGAACUGCCUUCGAUACUGAGAGUCUCGAGUCCGAGAGAGGUGAGUGGAACUGCGAGUGUAGAGGUGAAAUUCGUAGAUAUUCGCAAGAACACCAGUGGCGAAAGCGGCUUCCUGGACCAGUACCGACGUUCAGGCACGAAAGCGUGGGGAGCAAACAGG